Molecule: ribosomal RNA, 245 nt
Filed under: uncultured bacterium
Lineage: Bacteria
Description: partial 16S ribosomal RNA
Rfam family: Bacterial small subunit ribosomal RNA
Source: RNAcentral
UACGUAGAUGGCGAGCGUUAUCCGGAAUGACUGGGCGUAAAGGGUGCGUAGGCGGUUAUGUAAGUCAGAUGUGAAAUACCAGUGCUUAACAUUGGAGUUGCAUUUGAAACUAUAUGACUUGAGUGCAGGAGAGGAAAGUGGAAUUCCUAGUGUAGCGGUGAAAUGCGUAGAUAUUAGGAGGAACACCAGUGGCGAAGGCGACUUUCUGGACUGUAACUGACGCUGAGGCACGAAAGCAUGGGGAG